RNAcentral lists this ribosomal RNA (253 nucleotides) under uncultured bacterium. RNAcentral describes it as "partial 16S ribosomal RNA". It matches the Rfam family "Bacterial small subunit ribosomal RNA", at positions 524 to 776 of the family's 1533-position model. The record is from RNAcentral.
GACGAACCGAGCGAACGUUGUUCGGAAUCACUGGGCUUAAAGGGUGCGUAGGCGGGUUGUCCAGUCUGGGGUGAAAUCCCACGGCUCAACCGUGGAACUGCCUCAGAUACUGACGACCUCGAGGGAGGUAGGGGCGAGCGGAACUGUGGGUGGAGCGGUGAAAUGCGUUGAUAUCCACAGGAACUCCGGUGGCGAAGGCGGCUCGCUGGACCUCUUCUGACGCUGAGGCCCGAAAGCUAGGGGAGCAAACGGG